GACGAACGCUGGCGGCGUGCUUAACACAUGCAAGUCGAACGGAAAGGCCCUGCUUUUGUGGGCUGCUCGAGUGGCGAACGGGUGAGUAACACGUGAGUAACCUGCCCUUGGCUUGGGGACAACUUCAGGAAACUGGGGCUAAUACCGGAUAGGAGCGCCUGCUGCAGGGUGGGGGUUGGAAAGUGUCGGCUGGUGGGGAUAGACUCGGGGCUUACCGGCUUGUUGGUGGGGUAGUGGCUUACCCAGUCUUUGAUGGGUAGCCGGCCUGAGAGGGUAACCGGACACAUUAGGACUGCGGUACGGCCCAGACUGCUACGGGAGACAGCAGUGGGGAAUAUUGCACAAUGGGCGGAAGCGUGAUGCAGCAACGCCGCGUGCGGGAUGACCUCCUUCGGGUUAUAAACCGCUUUCGCCUGUGACGAAGCGUGAAUGACGGUAAUGGGUAAAGAAGCACCGGCUAACUACGUG
This 468-nucleotide ribosomal RNA is filed under the name uncultured bacterium. Its description in RNAcentral is "partial 16S ribosomal RNA". It matches the Rfam family "Bacterial small subunit ribosomal RNA", at positions 28 to 507 of the family's 1533-position model. The record is from RNAcentral.